GUGCUGUAGCUCAGUUGGUAGAGCAACGGACUGAAAAUCCGUGUGUCACUGGUUCAAUUCCCGUCAGCACC
This 71-nucleotide transfer RNA is filed under the name bovine gut metagenome. It matches the Rfam family "tRNA". Rfam says of the family: Transfer RNA (tRNA) molecules are approximately 80 nucleotides in length. Their secondary structure includes four short double-helical elements and three loops (D, anti-codon, and T loops). The record is from RNAcentral.